RNAcentral lists this RNase P RNA (331 nucleotides) under bovine gut metagenome. RNAcentral's name for it is "Bacterial RNase P class B". It matches the Rfam family "Bacterial RNase P class B". From Rfam's summary of the family: Ribonuclease P (RNase P) is a ubiquitous endoribonuclease, found in archaea, bacteria and eukarya as well as chloroplasts and mitochondria. The record is from RNAcentral.
GGCAGCCGCUGCCGCUUAGCGGUAGAGGAAAGUCCAUGCUCGCACUGUCUGCGAUGACAGUAGUGUUUGCGUUAGCUGAACAAAUAAGGCUAAGAUGGCCGCGUGCCAGACGGCGGAUGAACACCUAAGGCGAAAGCUAUGGUAGUAGUCUAUAAAAGUGCCACAGUGACGAAGUCUGCUGAGAAAUCAGUAGAGUGGAACGAGGUAAACCCCGCAAGCGAGAAACCCAAAUUUGGUAGGGGAAUCCGGAUGCCCGAACCUGAAGGGAUACGGGACGCGAAAGCGUAGAUAAAUGACUGCCACCCGGUAACGGGGACAGAACAUGGCUUAU